Macaca mulatta (Rhesus monkey) is the source of this 3045-nucleotide non-coding RNA. The record is from RefSeq and is a predicted model, not a curated record. NCBI's taxonomy places the organism in Eukaryota, Metazoa, Chordata, Mammalia, Primates, Cercopithecidae.
GAGCACUGCGCCUGCGCGGGGCGCCGGACACUGGGCGGGACUUCUCGGCUGACGGCCUGCGUGCACUGCGCUUGCGCGGGUUGAGGGCGUUGGCUCAGGCUCCUGGAAAAGACCGUCGGCCCCUCAGCGCUGGCGGUGUGGACGCGGAACUCAGCGGAGAAACGCGGCUGAGAAAUGGAGAAGAAAAUGAAAUAAAGCAGCAGUUAUGAGGCAGAGCCUAAGAGAACUAUGGCAACAUCAGGUGACUGUCCCAGAAGUGAAUCGCAGGAAGAAGAGCCUGCUGAGUACAGUGAGGCCGGUCUCCUGCAGGAGGGAGUCCAGCCAGAGGAGUUCGUGGCCAUCGCAGACUAUGCUGCCACUGAUGAGACCCAGCUCAGUUUUUUGAGAGGAGAAAAAAUUCUUAUCCUGAGACAAACCACUGCUGAUUGGUGGUGGGGCGAGCGUGCGGGCUACUGUGGGUACAUUCCGGCAAACCAUGUGGGGAAGGAGAUGGAUGAGUACGACCCUGAAGACACGUGGCAGGAUGAAGAGUACUUCGGCAGCUACGGAACUCUGAAACUCCACUUGGAAAUGUUGGCAGACCAGCCACGAACAACUAAAUACCACAGUGUCAUCCUGCAGAAUAAAGAAUCCCUAACGGAUAAAGUCAUCCUGGACGUGGGCUGUGGGACUGGGAUCAUCAGUCUCUUCUGUGCACACUAUGCGCGGCCUAAAGCGGUGUAUGCGGUGGAGGCCAGUGAGAUGGCACAGCACACGGGGCAGCUGGUCCUGCAGAAUGGCUUUGCCGACAUCAUCACCGUGUUCCAACAGAAGGUGGAGGACGUGGUACUGCCCGAGAAGGUGGAUGUGCUGGUGUCCGAGUGGAUGGGGACCUGCCUGCUGUUUGAGUUCAUGAUCGAGUCCAUCCUGUAUGCCCGGGAUGCCUGGCUGAAGGAGGACGGGGUCAUUUGGCCCACCAUGGCCGCAUUGCACCUUGUGCCCUGCAGUGCUGAUAAGGACUAUCGUAGCAAGGUGCUCUUCUGGGACAACGCGUACGAGUUCAACCUCAGCGCUCUCAAAUCUUUAGCAAUUAAGGAGUUUUUUUCAAAGCCCAAGUAUAACCACAUUUUGAAACCAGAAGACUGUCUCUCUGAACCGUGCACUAUAUUGCAGUUGGACAUGAGAACCGUGCAAAUUUCUGAUUUAGAGACCCUGAGGGGCGACCUGCGCUUCGACAUCAGGAAGGCAGGGACCCUGCACGGCUUCACCGCCUGGUUUAGCGUCCACUUCCAGAGCCUGCAGGAGGGGCAGCCGCCGCAGGUGCUCAGCACCGGGCCCUUCCACCCCAUCACACACUGGAAGCAGACGCUGUUUAUGAUGGACGACCCAGUCCCUGUCCAUACUGGAGACGUGGUCACGGGUUCAGUUGUGUUGCAGAGAAACCCAGUGUGGAGAAGGCACAUGUCGGUGGCUCUGAGCUGGGCUGUCACUUCCAGGCAAGACCCCACAUCUCAAAAAGCCUCUGUGGCUUCCCAGGCAGCAGUUCAUCUAGGUGUGUUGUCCGUGAUGUGUGUUCCGACUGGCAGCCUUUGGGUCCGUGCAUGAAUUCAUGUGUAGCUCGCCCAGCUCACUUGGGCUUCCUGUCUCAGAGGCCGCUGAAAAUGGAAUGUUCUUCUUUGGACUCAGGAUUAAUGUGGUUGGAGAAAAAGUGUUCCCAAUCUGGAGAUGACAGUUGAGGCUUUAUUUGGAAAGCCGUGUGCGUCUCCUGAGGGGUGACGAACACAAGCAACCCAAGAUGCACCUGGCUGCUGCACACUCCUUCGAAGUCGGUGAACGUUCGUGCCACACUGACCCCUCCCCAGCCUGGCAGGUGACGUCAGGGCCCUUCACAGACAAACACGCUUGGGCUCGGCAGGAGCUGCCGUGGCCACCCCCGCUGCCCAGUGUCUGCCCUCUAGAAGUAGGCUGUGUUUCUAGGUGUUCACCCGUGGUGUCCACAGUGCUGACCCGUGGCUAGGUCAGAGCUCCAUGUUCCUAAGCUAGGUCUAGGUCCACACUCCUAGAACGCCCGCAUAUCAGCCUGUGUACCCUGUGACAGUGACUGUUCCCGCCUCCUGUGUUAGUGGUGCCCUUCCUGCCAUCGCUCAUCCGCUCGUGUGGGAUGUAGGAUUGCACAGGGCUGUGCCAGUGCUGUGUAGGGAACACCGCCCUGGCUCAGCGCGGGAGCUGAGGUGGCGAUGCACGCGAUGGGACUUUGCAUGGGAUAGUUUUGUAGACGUCUUCCAAAUAAAUUAUGUGUUGGCGCAUUGCACAUGCUCAAUAAAUAUUUUUAAAUGAGUGAACGUCAUUGUGUAUCCUGUUUUACGCAUAUGUGUUAUUUUUUGUAAUUACAGGAUCAUACUAUAUGCAUUGCUUUGUAACUUUUUCUCAGUAUUGUGAAAAAACUUCCAUAUCAGUAGAUACAUUUUUUUGUGUGUUUUGAUUUUUAUUAAAUUUUAUUGAAAUAUAGGCUGAGUGCAGUGGCUCACCUCUGUAAUCCCAACAUUUUGAGAGGUUAAGGUGGGAUGAUUCCUUGAGCUCAGGAGUUCAAGACCACCCUGGGCAACAUAGUGAGAUCCUAUCUCUACAAAAUACAAAAAUUAGCUGGGCAUGGUGGCAUGUGCUUGUAGUCCCAGCUACUCGGGAGGCUGAGGUGGGAGGAUCACUUGAGCCUAGGCGGUUGAGGCUGCAGUGAUCUAGGAUCGCACUGCCGUACUCCAGCCUGGGUGACAGAGCAAGACCCUGUCUCAAAACCCAAAAAACAAAACUGAAAUAUCAAAUAUAUAUUGAAAACAGCACUGGCCGUGGGUACCUAGAUGAUGGUAUUUUAUAAAGUGGAUGCACAUGUAACCAGCCUCCAGUCCAGGACACGCUACUGACUCCCUGAUUCCCCUUCCGCUCAGUGCCCACCCUCUCGAGGGUGGCGUCCUGACUUGUAACUGUCGAUUACUCUUGCCUGAAUGGAAUUGUACACAUGUUCUUUUGUGUCUGCCUUCUUUAAUUAAACAUUGUGAGACUCAUCUAUGA